RNAcentral lists this ribosomal RNA (406 nucleotides) under uncultured bacterium. RNAcentral describes it as "partial 16S ribosomal RNA". It matches the Rfam family "Bacterial small subunit ribosomal RNA", at positions 29 to 526 of the family's 1533-position model. The record is from RNAcentral.
AUUGAACGCUGGCGGCAGGCCUAACACAUGCAAGUCGAGCGAGCGGCGGACGGGUGAGUAAUGUCUGGGAAACUGCCUGAGGGGGGGGGAGAACUACUGGAAACGGUAGCUAAUACCGCAUACCAUCAGAUGUGCGCAGAUGGGAUUAGCUAGUAGGUGGGGUAACGGCCCACCUAGGCGACGAUCCCUAGCUGGUCUGAGAGGAUGACCAGCCACACUGGAACUGAGACACGGUCCAGACUCCUACGGGAGGCAGCAGUGGGGAAUAUUGGACAAUGGGCGCAAGCCUGAUACAGCCAUGCCGCGUGUGUGAAGAAGGCCUUCGGGUUGUAAAGCACUUUCAGCGGGGAGGCGUUACCCGCAGAAGAAGCACCGGCUAACUCCGUGCCAGCAGCCGCGGUAAUAC